GUUUUAAGCAGAGGCCAAACAAACAAGCACAAACAGCAAAAUUUUGGGGGGAAAAUCUGAGAGAAACCUAACCAGAACUAUUGCAUUCCAUUGUCUAGGAUUCCGAUUCAGAAGCCAAAAGCUCAGUCAGGAACAGAACUUAAAUAAGGGAGGAAAUGUAAUAGAAAAUCUACCAAAUGAAGUUAUUCAGCACAUUUUAUCAUUCCUUCCAACAAAAGAUGCUGUCAGAACUGAAAGGGCACUGAUGCCUCGUGGUUCCUCAAAUCUUGAAAAAUUCUCCCUCCAUUGUCAGGCUAUGAAUAUGAUGUUAAGCUUCCUUCCGCUGUAAGCCUUCCAAGUUUCAAGGAGUUGAGUGUUUCACAUGCUACAUUUCUGGAUGACCACUCGGUGCUGCAGCUAUUUUC
Molecule: non-coding RNA, 404 nt
Organism: Jatropha curcas
Lineage: Eukaryota; Viridiplantae; Streptophyta; Magnoliopsida; Malpighiales; Euphorbiaceae
Source: RefSeq, a predicted model, not a curated record